ACUAAAUAGGAUUCCCUUAGUAAUGGCGAAUGAACAGGGAUCAGCUCAGUAUGGAAAUCGGGGCUUCCCAGCCUUGAAUUGUAGUCUCAAGAGGUAUCGCCAACGGAGGCGCAGAUGUAAGCCUCUUGGAAAAGAGCAUCAAUGAGGGUGAGAAUCCCGUUUGUCAUCUGCAGUCCCCCGUGCACGGUGUAUCUUCUAAGAGUCGCGUUCCUCGGGAUUGGAGCGUAAAGUGGGUGGUAAAUUUCAUCUAAGGCUAAAUAUGGGUUCGAGACCGAUAGCAAACAAGUACCAUGAGGGAAAGAUGAAAAGGACUUUGAAAAGAGAGUUAAAAGUGCCUGAAAUUGCUGAAAGGGAAGCGAAUGGAACCAGUGCUCUUGGCGAGAUUGUUGUGCGCUAUGGUGAUUGCUGGCUGCUUCAGCGCAAGCGGGGUAGUUGGUACUGAGCCUGCCGCGCGCAGUGUUUCUUACCUUGUGCGUCACCGUCGGUUCACAGGCGAGGAUACUUCUGAGGACAUGGUAACUCUUCCACGGAGGUGUGAAUGUCUUUGGUAAUACUCGUUUGUAGACCGCUCACCUUCGGGUUACGAUGACUAAAUGGUUCUAUUCGACCCGUCUUGAAA
Molecule: ribosomal RNA, 619 nt
Filed under: Amphidoma languida
Lineage: Eukaryota; Dinophyceae; Gonyaulacales; Amphidomataceae
Description: partial large subunit ribosomal RNA
Rfam family: Eukaryotic large subunit ribosomal RNA
Source: RNAcentral